This 722-nucleotide long non-coding RNA is filed under the name Homo sapiens (human). RNAcentral describes it as "HSALNT0047927". The record is from RNAcentral. Lineage: Eukaryota; Metazoa; Chordata; Mammalia; Primates; Hominidae.
GUGACUGUUUCACACCGAUGGCUCAAACAUCACUGGAAAAUCAAAUUAUGAAAGACCAGCUGCUGACACUGAACGGGUUUGCCUCCCAUGGCCAUCUAGACCGAGGGAGGCUCGCUGGAUGAUGACAAGAUAAAGGAGUCUGCUGGGCAUUAAAAGCUGGGCUGGGAGAAUCAAAGUGGAUUGCCCUCGUGUGACAGCAGCGAGCCUCCUGAAUCAAGCCCAGCCUAAAAAUGGAAUCCUAACAGUGCAGAUGCCAGCGACAAACAACCGACACACAGCACGGCAAGAACCAUCAACAAGGAAAAGCUCUCCAUUGUUUGAAUGAUCCACCCCUCUCAAGCUCCUCUAUCCCCAGCCCAAGCCACCAACAUCUCCGGAGGAGGACACUGGUCUCCUAGACCCAUCUCUCUGCCUGCACUGCCCCAGUGACUCUAAAAUCUGAGUCAAUCCCUAUGAUGACUUCUCCAUGCUCUUGCAAGAAAAUUCAGCACCCUCUCUCCAUAGGCUCUGAGUCGGCCUGUCUGGUCUGGAUUUGGCUUCCUUUUCCACAGACAGGAGGCCCCCUCAACUGCAGGAAAUACGUUCUAAGACCCUCAGUGGAUGCCUGAAACCAUGGAAAAUUUGGAACCCUAUAUACACUAUGUUUUUUUCCUGUUCAUAAGUACCUAUGAUAAAGUUGAAUUUAUAAAUUAGGCAUAGUAAGAGAUGAACAAUAACAAUAG